UACGGGGGGGGCAAGCGUUGUUCGGAAUUACUGGGCGUAAAGGGCUCGUAGGUGGCCAACUAAGUCGGACGUGAAAUCCCUCAGCUUAACCGAGGAACUGCCUGCCAGACUGCAAGGCUCGAGACCGGGAGAGGUGAGUGGAAUUCCCAGUGUAGCGGUGAAAUGCGUAGAUAUUGGGAGGAACACCAGUGGCGAAGGCGGCUCACUGGACCGGAACUGACGCUGAGGCGCGAAAGCGUGGGGAGCAAACAGG
This 253-nucleotide ribosomal RNA is filed under the name uncultured bacterium. RNAcentral describes it as "partial 16S ribosomal RNA". It matches the Rfam family "Bacterial small subunit ribosomal RNA", at positions 524 to 776 of the family's 1533-position model. The record is from RNAcentral.